Molecule: non-coding RNA, 32 nt
Filed under: Mus musculus (house mouse)
Lineage: Eukaryota; Metazoa; Chordata; Mammalia; Rodentia; Muridae
Source: RNAcentral
UAAACGUCUGGCAGUUCCUGCAACAGGUCCAC